AACGAACGCUGGCGGCACGUUUUAAGCAUGCAAGUCGAACGGCAGUGGGGGCAACCCCAUGAGAGUGGCGAACGGGUGAGUAACACGUAGGUGAUCUGCCUUUGGGUUGGGGAUAGCUUGUGGAAACACAGGGUAAUACCGAAUGAGCUGACGAGGCUUUGGCCAUGUUAGUAAAGGUGCUACGGCACCGCCUAGAGAGGAGCCUGCGGCUGAUUAGCCAGUUGGUGGGGUAAAGGCCUACCAAGGCGACGAUCAGUAGCCGGCCUGAGAGGGUGUACGGCCACACUAGAACUGAGACACGGUCCAGACUCCUACGGGAGGCAGCAGCUAAGAAUCUGCCGCAAGGGGCGAAAGCCUGACGGAGCGAUGCCGCGUGAUCGAUGAAGGUCGAGAGAUUGUAAAGAUCUUUUCCAACUGAGGAAUAAGUGGACCAGGGAAUGGGUUCAUGAUGACGUUAAGUUGGGAAUAAGCCCCGGCUAAGUACGUGCCAGCCGCCGCAGUAA
This 503-nucleotide ribosomal RNA is filed under the name uncultured bacterium. RNAcentral's name for it is "partial 16S ribosomal RNA". It matches the Rfam family "Bacterial small subunit ribosomal RNA", at positions 29 to 523 of the family's 1533-position model. The record is from RNAcentral.